Molecule: long non-coding RNA, 634 nt
Organism: Myodes glareolus (Bank vole)
Lineage: Eukaryota; Metazoa; Chordata; Mammalia; Rodentia; Cricetidae
Source: RefSeq, a predicted model, not a curated record
UGGCGAUCUGCCUGCCUCUGCCUCCCGAGAUCUGGGAUUAAAGGUCUGCGCCACCACCGCCAGGUGCUGUAAGAUUAUUGAGUGAAAAUCUCAGUGCCAGAAAUGGACCUCCAUCUUAUGAGAUGUUGGUCAGAGAUGUCCUUGAGGCCCCCUACACAAGACUGGCUAUUACCACUGUCUUUGAGUGCAUGCCAGCACUGGACUUGGAGACCCUACUGCUGAAGAUACCACACACUUUAGUUGCAAGAUAUGGAGAAAUCAGACUGGAGUUGACCUCAGAGAUCCUUCCUUGAUCCUUGGCUGUUGUGGUGCCAGAAGGAACUCUGCAGACGGCUGCGAGGAAAACUGUCAUCCACGAUCUUGUUCGCUCCCACAAUCAAGUCAGAGGAAUGGUCAUAGAAAAAAAGUCUCAGCACAAGGAAGACAAAGAAAACUACUCUGGAGUGGCACACGGAGGAACAGACUCAUUUAGCUUGGGCCUGCUUGGAGGCGGCACAGAAGAGGAUCCCUUGAGCAAGGCCUUGAAGGAUGAGUAGGAGUUUGCCAGAUGAAUGUGGCAGCAGGAAGCAAUCCAGGCAAAUGGCACUGCUUAGAGAGAACCGAGACCUGUGAAGUAGCUGGGCAUAUUGUUUUG